Molecule: ribosomal RNA, 253 nt
Filed under: uncultured bacterium
Lineage: Bacteria
Description: partial 16S ribosomal RNA
Rfam family: Bacterial small subunit ribosomal RNA
Source: RNAcentral
UACGAGUGGUGCUAGCGUUAUUCGGAAUCAUUGGGCGUAAAGGGCGCGUAGACGGCGUGUUAAGUUUGCUGUUAAAUCCUUCGGCUCAACUGAAGAUCAGCGGUGAAUACUGGCAUGCUAGAGGGUGGAAGGGAGAAGUGGAAUUCUCGGAGUAGCGGUAAAAUGCGUAGAUCUCGAGAGGAACACCAAUGGCGAAGGCAGCUUCUUGGUCCAUUCCUGACGUUGAGGCGCGAAAGCGUGGGGAGCAAACAGG